ACGGGUGAGUAACGCGUGGGAAUCUACCCAUCUCUACGGAAUAACGCAUGGAAACGUGUGCUAAUACCGUAUACGUCCUUCGGGAGAAAGAUUUAUCGGAGAUGGAUGAGCCCGCGUUGGAUUAGCUAGUUGGUGGGGUAAAGGCCUACCAAGGCGACGAUCCAUAGCUGGUCUGAGAGGAUGAUCAGCCACACUGGGACUGAGACACGGCCCAGACUCCUACGGGAGGCAGCAGUGGGGAAUAUUGGACAAUGGGCGCAAGCCUGAUCCAGCCAUGCCGCGUGAGUGAUGAAGGCCCUAGGGUUGUAAAGCUCUUUCACCGGUGAAGAUAAUGACGGUAACCGGAGAAGAAGCCCCGGCUAACUUCGUGCCAGCAGCCGCGGUAAUACGAAGGGGGCUAGCGUUGUUCGGAUUUACUGGGCGUAAAGCGCACGUAGGCGGACUAUUAAGUCAGGGGUGAAAUCCCGGGGCUCAACCCCGGAACUGCCUUUGAUACUGGUAGUCUUGAGUUCGAGAGAGGUGAGUGGAAUUCCGAGCGUAGAGGUGAAAUUCGUAGA
This 557-nucleotide ribosomal RNA is filed under the name uncultured bacterium. RNAcentral describes it as "bacterial SSU rRNA". It matches the Rfam family "Bacterial small subunit ribosomal RNA", at positions 102 to 694 of the family's 1533-position model. The record is from RNAcentral.